CCUAGAGGCAGCAGUGGGGAAUCUUGCGCAAUGGGCGAAAGCCUGACGCAGCAACGCCGCGUGCGGGAUGGAGGCCUUCGGGUUGUAAACCGCUUUCAGCAGGGAAGAAAUUGACGGUACCUGCAGAAGAAGCCCCGGCCAACUACGUGCCAGCAGCCGCGGUAACACGUAGGGGGCGAGCGUUGUCCGGAUUUAUUGGGCGUAAAGAGCUCGUAGGCGGUUCGGUAAGUCGGGUGUGAAACCUCCAGGCUCAACCUGGAGACGCCACCUGAUACUGCUGUGACUAGAGUCCGGUAGGGAGUGUGGAACUCCUGGUGUAGCGGUGAAAUGCGCAGAUAUCAGGAAGAACACCAGCGGCGAAGGCGGCACUCUGGGCCGGUACUGACGCUGAGGAGCGAAAGCGUGGGUAGCAAACAGGAUUAGAUACCCUGGUAGUCCACGCCGUAAACGUUGGGCACUAGGUGUGGGUCUCAACCAACGAGAUCCGUGCCGCAGCUAACGCAUUAAGUGCCCCGCCUGGGGAGUCGGCCGCAAGGCUAAAACGUCAAAUGAAUUGACGG
Molecule: ribosomal RNA, 560 nt
Filed under: uncultured bacterium
Lineage: Bacteria
Description: bacterial SSU rRNA
Rfam family: Bacterial small subunit ribosomal RNA
Source: RNAcentral